UUGUUGUUAGCGGUGUUGUGCCGAGAAACGCAUGUCCUCCGAGAAUUGCAUGCACUUCGCAAAACGCGCACCGCUUAUAGUAGAGUGGUCCACGGAAAUGUACAAUUUAAAACCCAUACAGUUCUUAUUUGUUGGGCUUAAUAGUCAUGAGUAAAGUUCCGAAAGUAAUUCUCAGCGGACACACGUCUCCCUCCAUGUGCAGAACAUGUGCAGGGGUGGGUUUCCUCCUCCCUGAUUUUGAUUGACAGCUGGCAGGGUAGUCUGAUUGGCAACUGAGAAGUGAGUCUGAUUGGCAACUGAGUUAAGGACGAAGGUGAUUGGUGGAUCGCUGCACAGCACAUGCAGAGUCACAUGCAGUGUAUCUCAGUUAG
Molecule: long non-coding RNA, 371 nt
Filed under: Xyrichtys novacula (pearly razorfish)
Lineage: Eukaryota; Metazoa; Chordata; Actinopteri; Labriformes; Labridae
Source: RNAcentral